RNAcentral lists this ribosomal RNA (338 nucleotides) under Ixodes scapularis (black-legged tick). RNAcentral describes it as "partial 16S ribosomal RNA, large subunit". The record is from RNAcentral. Lineage: Eukaryota; Metazoa; Arthropoda; Arachnida; Ixodida; Ixodidae.
GGUAUUGAAAUAAGAUUUUAAAUGAGUGCUAAGAGAAUGAUUAAACAAUUAAAAGCUUUCUUUAAUUAAAAAAUUAAAUUUAAUUUUUUUAGUGCAAAAGCAAAAAUAAAAUUUAGGGACAAGAAGACCCUAUGAAUUUUUAUUGUUAAUAAUUAAUAUUUAAGUUAUUAAUAAUUUAAUUGGGGCGAUAAAAAAAGAAUAAGUAUCUUUUUAGUUAUAAAAUAAGUUCCGUUUUUAGCGAUUAAAUGAAAUAAAUACUCUAGGGAUAACAGCGUAAUAAUUUUGGAUAGUUCAUAUAGAUAAAAUAGUUUGCGACCUCGAUGUUGGAUUAGGAUUCU